GCCAACGAGAGCAUACAGGUCGCAGUGGUGGGUAGUAUAUGGGGCUUUGGUGGCAAAACGGAUGGCACUGUGAUAGACUACAUCCAGUUUGCUGAGUAGAGUGUUGGAGGCUAUUUUGUAAAUGACAUCACCGAAGUCAACGAUCUGUGGAUCUUCAGUUUUACAAGGGUAUGUUUGGCAGCAUGAGUGAAGGAGGCUUUGUUGCGAAAUAGGAAGCCGAUUCUAGAUUUAAUUUGGGAUUGGAGAUGCUUAAUGUGAGUCUGGAAGGAGAGUUUACAGUCUAACCAGACACCUAGGUAUUUGUAGUUGUCCACAUAUUCUAAGUCAGAACCGUCCAGAGUAGUGAUGCUAGUCGGGCGGGUGGGUGCGGGCAACAAUCGUUUGAAGAGCAUGCUAAAUGCUGUACAUAGAGUCAAUCAAUUGUACCAUUGUGUAGUAACGUGUACAUUUCAUGAGUCUGAAAGUACCAUAUUGUAGCCCCUCCCACCUCAAUUUCCGUGACUUUGACUUUGACUUUGAGUUUGACUUCCGGCCUGUUGAGAUGAAUCGCUUACUCAGGGAGGGAGGAGAUGUUUCUCAAUAUGGAUCAAAUUGUUAAAAUGAAUCAAGGCGUUGGAGCACAGGCUAGCUCCUUGCAGAAUCUUGACAAAAGAGAAUGUGGACUAAGAUCUGGCAGUUGCAGUGCCCAGACAAGGUGAGAGCAAACUGCUACAGAGAUAAAAAGGAAUCUCCAAAUGCAAUGUUGAACGAGCACCAUGGAUGAAGGAGGGGGAGGAAAACAGACAGCUUCUUUCUACCAAACAUACAAUGUUUGCUUCAUGAACAAUAGUUACAUCUGAAAUAAAUACAGAAUUCUUUUAGUUUAUUCAGUUUUUUAUGCUGGAUGUGAGUAAUUUAGCAGGUUUAUAUUAUAAUGUAUUGUUUUGAAAUGUUCAUUAAAUAUCUAUUCAGUCAAAACUCACUUAUUAUUUUACGUUUGCUAAAAUAAUGUAUGUUUUGUACUGUUACUUUUUACGUUCUGAAACAGUCUCGUUAGUUUUGAGCUAGACUGUGAUGGGGGAAAUGUCUACUGUAAAUGUCUACUACCCUUUUUUAAAUGUUGAUGAAUGAAAUUACCACCGUUUCUAAUAGUUUGUCCACUUCCUCAUCAGACAGUAGCAACAAUGUGGAAUACAUUGGAGGAGGAAGGGAGAAUUAAUGAGAAACCAGAACCUGGCAAUGUCAGGGAAUAAGUAGGAUAAAUGUACAUGCUAUCAAUGGCAAAAGAAACUGCAGAGGUAGCUUUAAGAUAACAUUAGAUAUGUGCAUGUUAUGUACUGCACAGACGGCUAGCCAGCUAUUUUCAAAACAUUGGAUUACCAACUUGAGUGGUGACGUCUCAGUUUGCACCACAUUUUGACAUGGAGGUAGUAUGAUAUACACUGAACAAAAAUAUAAAUGCAACAUGUAAAGUGUUGGUCUCAUGUUUCAUGAGCUGAAAUAAAAGAUCCCAGACAUUUUCCAUACGCACAAGAAGCUUAUUUAUCUCAAAUGUUGUUCAGCCUGGUCCUUCCUCCGCUGCGUCCGUAACAGUAUAUCAAUUCCUUUUUAGAAAACAUCUUAAUUCAGCCUUUGUGGUUUUGUAAGUAUAGGGACUAUUAUUGC
This 1644-nucleotide long non-coding RNA is filed under the name Salmo salar (Atlantic salmon). RNAcentral's name for it is "lncRNA (ENSSSAG00000083556.1)". Lineage: Eukaryota; Metazoa; Chordata; Actinopteri; Salmoniformes; Salmonidae. The record is from RNAcentral.